GCCUCGGUGGCUUAGGGGUAUAGUGCGUCCUUGGUAAGGACGAGGUCGUGGGUUCAAAUCCCACCCGAGGCUCCA
Molecule: transfer RNA, 75 nt
Filed under: Methanococcoides methylutens
Lineage: Archaea; Methanobacteriati; Methanobacteriota; Methanomicrobia; Methanosarcinales; Methanosarcinaceae
Also listed under: 2 other names
Description: tRNA-Thr
Rfam family: tRNA
About the family: Transfer RNA (tRNA) molecules are approximately 80 nucleotides in length.
Source: RNAcentral